Molecule: long non-coding RNA, 248 nt
Filed under: Bos grunniens (domestic yak)
Lineage: Eukaryota; Metazoa; Chordata; Mammalia; Artiodactyla; Bovidae
Description: lncRNA (ENSBGRG00000013786.1)
Source: RNAcentral
GGGCGGGAGGGCGGUGGACUCCCAAGCCCGGGGCGGGUCCCGGCAGGUCAAAAUCCCUCUUGUAGAUGAGGACACCCAAGGCCUCCACCUAUGUGGGCCUGGGGGCUGCGAGUGGAAUGUGGGAACAGACGGGCACCACCUUGCCUUGGCCCAGGGAGAAGGCCCCUUGCUGUGCCCACCUCGAGACCUGUGAGACCAGUGGCUCACCUAUAUCCUGUGUCUUGACAGCUGUUGCCACUGCAACCUAA